CGACAUGGACGUGCAGGGGGAU
RNAcentral lists this microRNA (22 nucleotides) under Human betaherpesvirus 5. RNAcentral describes it as "hcmv-miR-US4". The record is from RNAcentral. Lineage: Duplodnaviria; Heunggongvirae; Peploviricota; Herviviricetes; Herpesvirales; Orthoherpesviridae.